UACGAAGGGGGCGAGCGUUGUUCGGAUUCAUUGGGCGUAAAGGGCGCGUAGGCGGCGAGGUAAGUCGGGUGUGAAAUCUCAGAGCUCAACUCUGAAACUGCACUCGAUACUGCUUUGCUAGAGGACUGGAGAGGAGAUUGGAAUUCACGGUGUAGCAGUGAAAUGCGUAGAGAUCGUGAGGAAGACCAGUGGCGAAGGCGGAUCUCUGGACAGUUCCUGACGCUGAGGCGCGAAGGCCAGGGGAGCAAACGGG
This 253-nucleotide ribosomal RNA is filed under the name uncultured bacterium. RNAcentral describes it as "partial 16S ribosomal RNA". It matches the Rfam family "Bacterial small subunit ribosomal RNA", at positions 524 to 776 of the family's 1533-position model. The record is from RNAcentral.